RNAcentral lists this ribosomal RNA (499 nucleotides) under uncultured bacterium. RNAcentral describes it as "partial 16S ribosomal RNA". It matches the Rfam family "Bacterial small subunit ribosomal RNA", at positions 28 to 507 of the family's 1533-position model. The record is from RNAcentral.
GACGAACGCUGGCGGCGUGCUUAACACAUGCAAGUCGAACGGGCCCGCCCCUGUUUUUGGGGGUGGGUUGAGUGGCGAACGGGUGAGUAUCACGUGAGUAACCUGCCCCCUGCUCCUGGAUAACUGCUUGAAAGGGCGGCUAAUACGGGGUGUGCCGGCUGGUCCGCAUGGGCCUGGUCGGGAUAGUUUCAUCUUCGGGUGUUUCGGUGGGGGAUGGGCUCGCGGCCUAUCAGCUUGUUGGUGGGGUGAUGGCCCACCAAGGCGGUGACGGGUAGCCGGCCUGAGAGGGUGGGCGGCCACACUGGGACUGAGACACGGCCCAGACUCGUGCGGGAGGCAGCAGUGGGGGGGAUUGCAAAAUGGGCGGAAGCCUGAUGCAGCGACGUCGCGUGAGGGAGGGAGGCCUUCGGGUUGUGAACCUCUUUCUCCGGUGGUGAAGGCCCUGUCCGGUGCGGCGGGGUUGACGGUAGCCGGGGAUGAAGCGCCGGCUAACUACGUG